GACGUAGGGCGCGAGCGUUGUCCGGAUUUAUUGGGCGUAAAGAGCUCGUAGGCGGCUUGUUGCGUCGACCGUGAAAACCCGCGGCUUAACUGCGGGCUUGCGGUCGAUACGGGCGGGCUGGAGUUCGGUAGGGGAGACUGGAAUUCCUGGUGUAGCGGUGAAAUGCGCAGAUAUCAGGAGGAACACCGGUGGCGAAGGCGGGUCUCUGGGCCGAUACUGACGCUGAGGAGCGAAAGCGUGGGGAGCGAACGGG
RNAcentral lists this ribosomal RNA (253 nucleotides) under uncultured bacterium. Its description in RNAcentral is "partial 16S ribosomal RNA". It matches the Rfam family "Bacterial small subunit ribosomal RNA", at positions 524 to 776 of the family's 1533-position model. The record is from RNAcentral.